This is a non-coding RNA of Sturnus vulgaris (Common starling), 100 nucleotides long. The record is from RefSeq and is a predicted model, not a curated record. NCBI's taxonomy places the organism in Eukaryota, Metazoa, Chordata, Aves, Passeriformes, Sturnidae.
GCAGGGCUGAUGGACAGUGGUGGCACUGCAGGGCUGAUGGACAAUGGUGACACUGCAGGGCUGUUGGACAGUGGUGACACUGCAGGGCUGAUGCACAGUG